CUUGCAAUAUCAAAAAUUCGUGGGAGGUGGGGUGGUUUUGAGACUUUGGAAAAGUGGGUUAGUGGAGCUUAUGCAGGUCAUACUGCUGUUGCUUAAGGGACUCUGAAGGAAAAUUGUGGGUUGGUGAAUCAGGACAUGAAAAUGAACAGGGGGAAGAUAUUAUUGCUGUGUUACCGUGGGAUGAAUGGUGGGAAUUUGAGCUGACUAAGGAUGACUCUAAUCCACAUAUU
Molecule: unclassified non-coding RNA, 230 nt
Filed under: Hevea brasiliensis (rubber tree)
Lineage: Eukaryota; Viridiplantae; Streptophyta; Magnoliopsida; Malpighiales; Euphorbiaceae
Source: RNAcentral